Molecule: ribosomal RNA, 253 nt
Filed under: uncultured bacterium
Lineage: Bacteria
Description: partial 16S ribosomal RNA
Rfam family: Bacterial small subunit ribosomal RNA
Source: RNAcentral
UACGUAGGGUGCAAGCGUUGUCCGGAAUUAUUGGGCGUAAAGAGCUCGUAGGCGGUCUGUCGCGUCGGCUGUGAAAACCCGGAGCUCAACUCCGGGCCUGCAGUCGAUACGGGCAGACUGGAGUUCGGCAGGGGAGACUGGAAUUCCUGGUGUAGCGGUGAAAUGCGCAGAUAUCAGGAGGAACACCGGUAGCGAAGGCGGGUCUCUGGGCCGAUACUGACGCUGAGGAGCGAAAGCGUGGGGAGCGAACAGG